This 440-nucleotide ribosomal RNA is filed under the name uncultured bacterium. RNAcentral's name for it is "partial 16S ribosomal RNA". It matches the Rfam family "Bacterial small subunit ribosomal RNA", at positions 338 to 795 of the family's 1533-position model. The record is from RNAcentral.
CCUACGGGGGGCAGCAGUAGGGAAUAUUGCUCAAUGGGGGAAACCCUGAAGCAGCAACGCCGCGUGGAGGAUGAAGGUUUUCGGAUUGUAAACUUCUUUUGUUAGAGAAGAUAAUGACGGUACCUAACGAAUAAGCACCGGCUAACUCCGUGCCAGCAGCCGCGGUAAUACGGAGGGGGCAAGCGUUACUCGGAGUUACUGGGCGUAAAGAGCGCGUAGGCGGGAUAGCAAGUCAGAUGUGAAAUCCUAUGGCUUAACCAUAGAACUGCAUUGGAAACUGUUAUGCUAGAGUAUGGGAGAGGUAAGUGGAAUUCUUGGUGUAGGGGUGAAAUGCGUAGAGAUCAAGAGGAAUACUCAUUGCGAAGGCGGCCUACUAGAACAUAACUGACGCUGAUGCGCGAAAGCGUGGGGAGCAAACAGGAUUAGAUACCCUUGUAGUC